UAUCCUAAACCCGGUCAAUCACUUCUCUACUCAUCUUAGACCGACAAAAGUAAAACCCUAUGUUUAUACCUUUGCCUUGAUAACUUUGCUCCUCGUCUAUCAUCAUGAUCUCCACAUCAUGCUUCAUUUCUUUGUAAUCAUGUGGCCACCUUUUCAUGCCACCAUGCACCUUCAUCACAUGUGUUGCUAUGCCUAACUCAAAUCACUUAAACACAAGGCAUUAGCAACUUGGUGUCAUUAAUUACCAAAACCAAACUUGGGCUUUCAGUUGUCCUAGGCUUAUAUCUGCCCCUGUGUGGAGAUAUCUGGGUUUUAGGCAUCCGAUGUCACAACUCGUUCGAAACCUUUUCAAUUUUUUUACCACAGCCUACAUAUGGAUAGCAUGACAUCUCGACAAGAUUUUUGAUUUUCGGACUUCAUAUAAAUUUUAUAUAAUUUAAAAAACACCUUUUCAGUAAGUCGCUCGUAUGCAAAGAAGAUGCGCAAACAUUGAUGCAAGUUCUUGGAUAGGGACUCAACAUACACCAAAUUUCAUGAAUAACAUUUUUUAAAACACUAUAUUAUAUUAUUCCAUGUACCUAAAGUUCAAAUUUGAAAUAUUCAAAAAAAUUAAUGAAACAAAAUAAAUUAAGAAAAUAUAAAUUAGUCCAAACUUUAAAAUUAAGUUUCAAAUAAUGUAUUUUACCCAAAAAAGAACUAGUCUAAAAAGACAAAAAAACUACCGACGACCUUACUUGUAGCCUUUGACAAAGAAUUUUUUAAAAAAACUAAAAAACAUUUGCCGAGGGCCCUGUGUGUCUGGCCCUCGGCAAAGAGCCCAACCCUAUAUGCCAAUCGUGCAGGCCAAAAAAAAGCCACAAACAACUUAUUCCUUCGACCCCCGCGCCCAGCCACCGCUCGCCGCGCCCAGCCGCCCGCGUGCACCUAGCUCCCCCGCCGCCGCUCGCCGCACCUGCAACAAUCGAUGCACCUGCAACAAGCAAUGGGCAACACACAUCUCUCUCUCUCCCUCUCUCUCUCUCUCUCUGCUUGUUUCCCUUCUUUAGAUCCAGCGGCUGCAGCUCGCUCUUCUCCCUGUCCAACACCAGCAC
Molecule: long non-coding RNA, 1091 nt
Filed under: Sorghum bicolor (sorghum)
Lineage: Eukaryota; Viridiplantae; Streptophyta; Magnoliopsida; Poales; Poaceae
Description: long non-coding RNA (SBIC_LNC000249)
Source: RNAcentral